RNAcentral lists this unclassified non-coding RNA (259 nucleotides) under Hevea brasiliensis (rubber tree). Lineage: Eukaryota; Viridiplantae; Streptophyta; Magnoliopsida; Malpighiales; Euphorbiaceae. The record is from RNAcentral.
GGGGAAGUCAGAUAUGAGCUGAAGGAUCAAGCUUAUUGUUAUGUUAUCAUGGACACCCCAAAGGAUAUCUGUUCUUUAGCAACAUGGCUUACAAAGUGGUUAUCUGAAGUUGAGAGUUGUAAGGUAAGGAAGAUGGACACAAUGUAUGAUGCUGCUGUAUUUGCAACAGAAGCAUGUGACAAAGUGCAUGGUUGCCGUGACCAUCAACAUACACCUUGCUUGCAAAGGAAGAUUACAGAAUAUUUUGUAAAUGGUACUG